AAAUAUACGUGUCAUAGAUCAUAAUAUGGAACACAACAAGAAUUGUGGAUAUUUAUUUUGUCAAUUUUGAGAACAUUAGUUUCUACAAACACAAAUAAUGGAGUUGUUUACCAUGUGAGUAAAAGUGUGGCAUGGAUUAGUACUCAUGAACCAAAACGUCGUGUUAGCUUAAAGGAAGAUAGGAACCUUCUGGUUGUUAUUGUUCUUUCUUAGAACCUUGGAAUAUAAAUGACAAUAGAGUUUUUACCAUCCUCUGUCAGUACAUAAAUGAUAUAAAAUGGCUGCAUAAUCUUAUUCUCUUGUUUCAAAUGAACAGAAAAACAACUCCAUGUGCUUUUCCACAAUAAGUGUUUCAAAUGGAAGAUAGGAACCUUCUCAAAAAUUGGUGUCUUACGAUGAAAAGCUAUUAAUUAGUGAAAAUGAUGUUCUAUAUUUUCUACUAUUGUUUUCAGGGGAAGGUAUUUUCAGAUUCCUAGUCCCUAUAAACAAGCGUUGAGGCUGUGAUGCUUCUUAAUCAGUUAAAUUUUUCGAUUUGUAUUUCACAUGCUUUUAUUUUCUGAUGAUCUAUAAAUAGAUGCAAAUAUGCAUCUAGUCAAGGAUGAUUACACCUUGCAGGUGUGGAGAGUUAGUGGUAAUCCCAGGGGGAUCCCUAAAUUUUGUUUGUCAAAGUCAGUCAUUCACAGUCGUGGAAAACAAUUUUUUAUUCUCUAUUGUUUGUUUUCCUAUAUUAUUGUUCACUUUUUGAUAGUUUUCCCUUCUCUGACAGAUUGAGACUCUGAAGCUUAAAUUGUUUGAGAAGUUGGGAUAGUUCCUUUUGGAUUUGCAUUUUGAAUCUAAGGACCUAAAAGUUGCUUUAGCAGAUGAUGAACUUUUCUAACCAAGGAAAAGUCAAUAUUUCGGCUUUUGCUGCUGUUCAUGAAGGAAUUUGAACCCACUCGUAAACAUAUUUAGAAGCAGCUCCACUCUGCGGAUAUUUUGGCAAUCCUUUGCUGCUCUUAUUGCUGUCAAAGAUUAUAUAACCAGUGCAAUAAGUCAUCUUCUACUUGAUAUUUCAGACGCUUUCUCAAAAAUCCAAGUUAUGCAAAAUGAGGGAACAAAGAAAGCAUACCCUUUGAAGGCAGCCUUCGAGGCCAGCAAAAAGGCAUUUA
Olea europaea var. sylvestris is the source of this 1148-nucleotide long non-coding RNA. RefSeq lists it as uncharacterized. NCBI's taxonomy places the organism in Eukaryota, Viridiplantae, Streptophyta, Magnoliopsida, Lamiales, Oleaceae. The transcript is spliced from 4 exons. The record is from RefSeq and is a predicted model, not a curated record.